Molecule: long non-coding RNA, 1171 nt
Filed under: Nicotiana benthamiana
Lineage: Eukaryota; Viridiplantae; Streptophyta; Magnoliopsida; Solanales; Solanaceae
Description: long non-coding RNA (NBEN_LNC026966)
Source: RNAcentral
AGAGUAUUGCCUUCAAGGAUCUAUGUAUGUUCCCCGAUGUUCAUUUGCCACUUGGUUUCAAGACUUCCAAAUUUGAAAUGUAUGAUGGACAUGGAGACCCCAUAGCCCACCUGAAAAGGUAUUGCAAUAAACUGAGAGGUGCGGGAUGAAAUGAAGAAUUGCUGAUGGCUUGUUUUGGGGAAAGCCUUACGGGUGUAGCCUCCGAAUGGUUUGUGGGUCAAGACACAUCUUGCUGGUAUGCCUGUGAUGAUAUGGCACAUGCCUUUGUCAAACAGUUCCAAUAUAACAUCGACAUUGCUCCAGACGGCAAUUCCCUUUCAAACCUGAAGAAGAAACCAACUGAAAGUUUCAGGGAAUAUACCAUUAAAUGGAGAGAACAAGCAGCUAGAGUUAAGCCACCCCUGGAUGACCAUGAGCUAAUCACCGUCAUUCUUCAGGCUCAAGAGCCAGGUUAUUUUCGAAACAUGAUAUCCCUGUUGGUAAAUCCUUCUCGAAAGUAAUCAAAAUGGGGGAAAUGGUUGAGAAUGGUCUUAAGACAUGCAAAAUUAUAAGUCAAGUAGUUCUCAAAGCUGCAACUCAGGUUGACCAGAUUGAAUCAGAUAAUUUUGGUAAUUUUGGUGACCCGAAUGAGAAUGUUUAAAAAUCAGCUCCAACUCAGGCUGUCCAAAUUAAAUCGGGUAAUUUUAGUGGCACGAUUGAGAAGGUUGGAGAAAUCAUGAUGACAUAAAAGUCGAGCAGAGGUUCUAGAAGAACAUCUCGAAGGCAUGACUAACCUCAUUUGUUUUUUGACUAUUCCCCUGAGAACCCAAAAAUACUCUAUUGCUUCACCCCAGUAUGUUGUCGAGCCACUAAGAGACCCCAGAAGGCGAGUACCAGCUCCGCAAAAUCUCCACCAGCUUCCACAAAAUUUUCAAGUGCCACAUAAUCCACAUCCAAGCUAGGGAGACAGAGGUAAACAAAGGUUGAAAGAUAAUUUUACACCGAUAGGAGAGUCCUACGCAAGUUUGUUUGAGAAACUAAAGCAUUAUGACCUGAUUGCACCUAUUCCUCCGAAUCAUGUGGACAAGCGUGCAAGAAGCUUUGAACCUUCUAAAAGGUGUGAAUACCAUUCCAAUGCCCAAGGGCACAAUGUCGAAAGUUUUCGGGAUUUGAAAAGAGAGAUAGAAAGAAU